This 460-nucleotide ribosomal RNA is filed under the name uncultured bacterium. Its description in RNAcentral is "partial 16S ribosomal RNA". It matches the Rfam family "Bacterial small subunit ribosomal RNA", at positions 338 to 795 of the family's 1533-position model. The record is from RNAcentral.
CCUACGGGUGGCAGCAGUGAGGAAUAUUGGUCAAUGGACGAGAGUCUGAACCUGCCAAGUAGCGUGAAGGAUUACUGCCCUAUGGGUUGUAAACUUCUUUUAUAAAGGAAUAAAACGAGGCACGUGUGCCUUUUUGCAUGUACUUUAUUAAUAAGGAUCGGCUAACUCCGUGCCAGCAGCCGCGGUAAUCCGGAGGAUCCGAGCGUUUUCCGGAUUUAUUGGGUUUAAAGGUAGCGUAGAUGGGUUGUUAAGUCAGUUGUGAAAGUUUGCGGCUCAACCGUAAAAUUGCAAUUGAUACUGGCAGUCUUGAGUACAGUUGAGGUAGGCGGAAUUCGUGGUGUAGCGGUGAAAUGCGUAGAUAUCACGAAGAACCCCGAUUGCGAAGGCAGCUUACUAAACUGUGACUGACAUUGAUGCUCGAAAGUGUGGGUAGCAAACAGGAUUAGAUACCCUUGUAGUC